UCUCGCUCAUGCCAUGGGCAGAUCGGUUUUCUAUUCCGCAACAGGACCUCCUUCACUCAUGCUGCCAAACUCACUUUGGUGAAAAUGACAAUCUUACCAAUUCUCGAUUUCAGUGAUGUUAUUUACAGAACUGCCUCAAACUCUCUCCUGAAAACAUUGGAUGUUCUCUAUCACAGUGCCAUACGUUUUUGUCUGUUCCGUGUGUUCCGUGCCAUCGUCCGUUGGAGGAGCUGUC
Long non-coding RNA from Sander lucioperca (pikeperch), 235 nucleotides. RefSeq lists it as uncharacterized. The record is from RefSeq and is a predicted model, not a curated record. Lineage: Eukaryota; Metazoa; Chordata; Actinopteri; Perciformes; Percidae. The transcript has 5 exons.